RNAcentral lists this RNase MRP RNA (511 nucleotides) under Colletotrichum orchidophilum. Its description in RNAcentral is "RNase MRP". It matches the Rfam family "RNase MRP". Rfam says of the family: RNase MRP is an enzymatically active ribonucleoprotein with two distinct roles in eukaryotes. In mitochondria it plays a direct role in the initiation of mitochondrial DNA replication. The record is from Rfam by way of RNAcentral. Lineage: Eukaryota; Fungi; Ascomycota; Sordariomycetes; Glomerellales; Glomerellaceae.
CCCUCGUCCGACAAAUCGCCAUCGAAGCUCACAAACGGAGAUUUCCUUUCCUUUUGGAAGGGCUUCUCAAGAUAGCAGCUUUGGGAGAAAGUCCCCGGACACACGUUACUUCCCUUUCUUCGGAAAGCGAAGUCAAAACGCCGCGGAAACGCGCCGCCAUAGAAGCACAGCGGCUGACCUCCAAGACCUGCGUCCGGACAUCAUGGGCUCUCUCACACCCCGCCCCGUCGCUACAUCGUUGGCUUUUCCUCCCUACGAGACCCGAGUUUCACUUUUCAAGACCCUUUGGAUGAAGAUAUGAGUCCGCGCCUGGGAAUUGAGACUUGGGAGCCUUGCAGGGCUGGGGAGUCUUUGAUGACGGGGUGGCCGUUGGGGAGGGUUCGCUUGCCGGGCGAUUUCAAGGGUCCGUCGGAGGGUCUUUCGUCGAGAUCGAUAGGUAUGCGAUUGCCCGUCCACACCUCUUCACUGGGGUUGGGCGUGUUACUCGAUGGGGCUUAUUCUUGGUGCGAGG